Molecule: long non-coding RNA, 2450 nt
Organism: Symphalangus syndactylus (siamang)
Lineage: Eukaryota; Metazoa; Chordata; Mammalia; Primates; Hylobatidae
Source: RefSeq, a predicted model, not a curated record
CCUGGGAGACGCAGGGGAUGAUGCUCUGGGUGGGGAAGCCUCUACAGGUGGCUGCAGCAGAAGCGGUUUUCAAUAUUAUUAGCCCUUCCCUGCGUCCCCAGAGCUCCCUCCGCCCCAGUCCUCCUGGCUCAGGCACCAGCGCUGUCUCUUGCCACCCCUCCCUGCAGCUGUCACCCUCCCACCGUCCCUGACUAGCACACCGGAUUGGGAGGGCCAAGCAGGCACCUGGAGCUUGGCAGGGAGGGGGCGUGCAUCUCCAAUGAGGCGCUCCAGAAAUAGAGCUUCCGCAUGGGAAGGGAACGAGCAGGCUCUGGGAGGACCCGCGAGGCCGGAGGAGCCAUGAGGUGCCCAGGGCGUCUCUUCUUCCCACCUGGAACGCUCGGAAGACAGCCCAGGAGAAAGGUGGAAACGGGCGUGAGCUGCCGCCACCAGGAGCCACCAGCCCAGGAGGCAGCAGCACCAUCCCCUCCUCAAAGCAACCACCACCAAGAACGCCUGGGCCCUCUCCCCACACUGUGGGGUUUUCCUGAUGGCCACAUCCGGCGCCGACUGUGAGGGAGCCAUGGAUGUAUGCUUCUGUGUCAGAAAACCGAGGCCCUAAGCAGCUGAGUAACCCACUCAGAGGACGUCUGUCUCAGACAACGUGGCUUGGGAAAGGGCAGCCACUUCGAGAUUCCCUUGAUGCCUUUGUUGGAUGGCUUCCAGUAGAUGUUAACGCCACAGCCAGAUGCUAACCUUGGCCACAGAGACAAGUGUGUGAGCCUUUGAGCACCACAGUGAUUUGGGUGGGAACAGAAACCUCCGCAUCCCUGGCACUGAGGAGUUGGGGAGAUCCAACGUCACGCGCUGGGAAGGAAGGAGUUAAAGAGUCCUUCUCCUCCGGGCUUUGCCAAAGGUGAUGCUACCCUGAAGUGCUCUUAACCCCAGCCAUCAACCCCAAUCUGUCAGAGCAGCGGGGAGCUGUGGUAGACAGGCCUUCCUGAUUCAGCUAAAUGUGGACCGGGUGGAGACCAGCCAGUGCUCCCCAAGACACUGAACCCCCAUCUAUCACGCUGCCUCCUCCAGGCCCCUUCUAAGCAUUCCCUGGAUAGUCCCUGGGGCCAGUGCUCUCCACCCUCCCAGCCCUCCCUCCAGCCUGUGCACUCAGACUGUCUGCGGCUCCCCAGCCCCGGGGUGACCUGCCUGCUCCUGCCUCAUCACUGGACUUAAAGGGGAUUUCACGGUUGGUCGCACCUCCAGAAGCACUGGGUUAAUGAUGAGGGGCUGAGUGGGAAGAAGGUAUAUCCCAUUUCAAGACUAUUUGCCCUGCUCCUAAUUCCCAAGCACAUGCUACUCACCGCCUCUCCAACAAGCAACUCUUGCUUCUACCAAUCACUUGGCCAGGAUGGAAAAAAGGGGAUGGGCCCUAGAACCAAAACUGGGUAUCUCCACUUUUCCUCCCUUCUCAUGUUAGCAGCUCAGCUCCACUGCACACGACAGGAAGGCCCCAGGAGUCUCUGCUUCCUUGAUCACCCAGAGGUCACUGCUGAUGACAAAAAUGUGUUCCCAUGCGGGGGCCAGGCAGGGAGCCCCGGUGCGUGCAGAGGCUGAAUGCACAGUGGGUGGGAGGGAGUGGGGCCCUCUACAUUCAAAUGAAAAACCAAAACCAAAAAUAGACUGUGAUGACCAAAAAACCAAGAGUUUGCACCCUCACUGGCCCAUCAGCCCCUUAAAAGCCGGGACUGGCCGGGCGUGGUGGCUCACACCUGUAAUCCCAGCACUUUGGGAGGCCAAGACGGGCAGAUAGCCUGAGGCUGGGAGUUCCAGACCAGCCUGGCCAGCAUGGUGAAACCCCGUCUCUAAUAAAAAUACAAAAAUUAGCCAGGUGUGGUGGCACGUGCCUGUAAUCCCAGCAGUGAGCCGAGAUUGUGUCACUGCACUCCAGGCUGGGCAACAGAGUGAGACUCCCUCUCAAAAAAAAAAAGCCGGGGCCGGGUGCAGUGGCUCACACCUGUAAUCCCAGUACUUUGGGAGGCCGAGGUGGGCGGAUCACGAAGUCAGGAGAUAGAGACCAUCCUGGCUAACACGGGGAAACCCCAUCCCUACUAAAUAUACAAAAAAUUGGCUGAGCAUGGUGGCGGGCGCCUGUAGUCCCAGCUACUCGGGAGGCUGAGGCGAGAGAAUGGUGUGAACAGGCCGGGCGUGGUGGCUCACGCUUGUAAUCCCAGCACUUUGGGAGGCCGAGGCGGGCGGAUCACGAGGUCAGGAGAUUGAGACCACGGUGAAACCCCGUCUCUACUAAAAAUACAAAAAAUUAGCCGGGCGUGGUGGCGGGCGCCUGUAGUCCCAGCUACUCGGAGAGGCUGAGGCAGGAGAAUGGCGUGAACCCGGGAGACGGAGCUUGCAGUGAGCCGAGAUUGCGCCACUGCACUCCAGCCUGGGCGACAGAGCGAGACUCGGUCUCAAAAAAA